Molecule: ribosomal RNA, 253 nt
Filed under: uncultured bacterium
Lineage: Bacteria
Description: partial 16S ribosomal RNA
Rfam family: Bacterial small subunit ribosomal RNA
Source: RNAcentral
UACAGAGGAGCCAAGCGUUGUCCGGAUUGACUGGGCGUAAAGCGCACGCAGGCGGACGCGCGCGUGGGGUGUGAAAUCUGGCCGCUUAACGGCCAGGCGCCAUCCCAUACGGCGCGUCUGGAGCAAUGCAGAGGUCGGUGGAAUUGCCGGUGUAGUGGUGAAAUGCGUGGAGAUCGGCGGGAACACCCAGGGGGAAACCAGCUGACUGGGCAUUUGCUGACGCUGAGGUGCGAGAGCGUGGGGAGCGAACCGG